UACAGUUUCUAUACAACUCUUCAGGGACACU
This 31-nucleotide non-coding RNA is filed under the name Mus musculus (house mouse). The record is from RNAcentral. Lineage: Eukaryota; Metazoa; Chordata; Mammalia; Rodentia; Muridae.